Herpailurus yagouaroundi (jaguarundi) is the source of this 652-nucleotide long non-coding RNA. RefSeq lists it as uncharacterized. NCBI's taxonomy places the organism in Eukaryota, Metazoa, Chordata, Mammalia, Carnivora, Felidae. The record is from RefSeq and is a predicted model, not a curated record. The transcript has 4 exons.
CCAUUCCCUCUGGACUUGUCGCGCCGCCGCCAAGGCCCGCCCCACUGACCGUGGCGCCUGAAGGGGCGGAGGAAAGCGCUUCCGCGCAAGCGCGUUCGCGUGCUCUUGCCUUCUAGAGAAGUUACUGCGCAGGUUCGCGUGGAACCUACGGAGAGACCAGUAGGUCUUGGAGGGCUAGGUUUGUCACUUUUCUGGACUUUUUACAAUUUUUAAUGCCACCGACUACUACUUACUGGACGCAUGUGGUACACCGGCCACAAUGCUAACCAUACAAUUACAGCGUUCACUCAACGUGAUUCCUUUGAUGGGAGCAGAGAAAUUGUUACCACAUUUUCCACAAUUUGACCACCGCUUCCCACCCUCCAACUUGGUUUGCUAUUCUCCCCUUCCCAGAAAGUUUAGCGCACUUCGCAAGGCCGCGUUAUGACUUUCGUGUAACCGCGACACAUUGGCCUUGUGUUUGUGGAGUCCUAGAUUGGAGCGCAGCAAAGAGAUGUUCAUCAUCAGCAUGUGGUGUAAAUGACACAAGCUGGCGGUCAGCUGGAAGAUACAGCAAAUGUACAAGGGGCUACCCAUUCCUAGGGAGAGAGAAUUGGGAUCACUCCAGACACAGAGAGACAGAACAUGAGUGGGGGAGGGGCAGAGAGAGAGG